RNAcentral lists this ribosomal RNA (254 nucleotides) under uncultured bacterium. RNAcentral's name for it is "partial 16S ribosomal RNA". It matches the Rfam family "Bacterial small subunit ribosomal RNA", at positions 524 to 776 of the family's 1533-position model. The record is from RNAcentral.
UACGUAGGUGGCAAGCGUUGUCCGGAUUUACUGGGCGUAAAGAGCGCGCAGGCGGUCGUUCAAGUCGCGUGUGAAAGCCCCCCGGCUCAACUGGGGAGGGUCACGCGAUACUGAUCGACUGGAAGGCAGGAGAGGGUAGUGGAAUUCCCGGUGUAGUGGUGAAAUGCGUAGAUAUCGGGAGGAACACCAGUGGCGAAGGCGACUACCUGGCCUGUUCUUGACGCUGAGGCGCGAAAGCUAGGGGAGCAAACGGG